GUGUCAGCAGCCGCGGUAAUACAGAGGGUGCAAACGUUGCUCGGAAUUAUUGGGCGUAAAGCGCGUGUAGGCGGCUUGUUAAGUCGGUUGUGAAAACCCAUGGCUCAACCAUGGAAGUGCGUCCGAAACUGGCAAGCUAGAGUCUUGACGAGGGUGGCGGAAUUCCCAGUGUAGAGGUGAAAUUCGUAGAUAUUGGGAGGAACACCGGUGGCGAAGGCGGCCACCUGGGAAGGUACUGACGCUGAGACGCGAAAGCGUGGGGAGCAAACAGGAUUAGAUACCCUGGUAGUCCACGCCGUAAACGAUGAGCACUAGAUGUUGCGGGUAUUGACCCCUGCAGUGUCGACGCUAACGCAUUAAGUGCUCCGCCUGGGGAGUACGGCCGCAAGGCUAAA
RNAcentral lists this ribosomal RNA (395 nucleotides) under uncultured bacterium. RNAcentral describes it as "bacterial SSU rRNA". It matches the Rfam family "Bacterial small subunit ribosomal RNA", at positions 505 to 898 of the family's 1533-position model. The record is from RNAcentral.